UCUCCGUAGGUGAACCUGCGGAGGGAUCAUUACAGAGUUCAUGCCCUAACGGGUAGAUCUCCCACCCUAUGUUAUCAUCACUUUGUUGCUUUGGCGGGCCGUCAGGCCUCGGCUUGGCUACCGGCUCUCGCUGGUAAGCGCCCGCCAGAGAACCCCAAACCCUGAAUAUCAGUGUCGUCUGAGUACUAUAUAAUAGUUAAAACUUUCAACAACGGGUCUCUUGGUUCUG
This 229-nucleotide unclassified non-coding RNA is filed under the name plant metagenome. RNAcentral's name for it is "partial contains small subunit ribosomal RNA, internal transcribed spacer 1, and 5.8S ribosomal RNA". The record is from RNAcentral.